RNAcentral lists this ribosomal RNA (497 nucleotides) under uncultured bacterium. RNAcentral's name for it is "partial 16S ribosomal RNA". It matches the Rfam family "Bacterial small subunit ribosomal RNA", at positions 28 to 507 of the family's 1533-position model. The record is from RNAcentral.
GAUGAACGCUGGCGGCGUGCCUAAUACAUGCAAGUCGAGCGAACAGACGAGGAGCUUGCUCCUCUGACGUUAGCGGCGGACGGGUGAGUAACACGUGGAUAACCUACCUAUAAGACUGGGAUAACUUCGGGAAACCGGAGCUAAUACCGGAUAAUAUAUUGAACCGCAUGGUUCAAUAGUGAAAGACGGUUUUGCUGUCACUUAUAGAUGGAUCCGCGCCGCAUUAGCUAGUUGGUAAGGUAACGGCUUACCAAGGCAACGAUGCGUAGCCGACCUGAGAGGAUGAUCGGCCACACUGGAACUGAGACACGGUCCAGACUCCUACGGGAGGCAGCAGUGGGGAAUCUUCCGCAAUGGGCGAAAGCCUGACGGAGCAACGCCGCGUGAGUGAUGAAGGUCUUCGGAUCGUAAAACUCUGUUAUUAGGGAAGAACAAAUGUGUAAGUAACUAUGCACGUCUUGACGGUACCUAAUCAGAAAGCCACGGCUAACUACGUG